UUCGCAAUGCCCGAAAGGGUGACGAUGCGACGCCGCGUGGAGGAUGAAGGCUUUCGGGUUGUAAACUCCUGUCAGGGCAACAGAAGGGGAGGGGAGGAAACCCCCCGACCUUGACUGGGCCCAAAGGAAGCCCUUGCUAACUCCGUGCCAGCAGCAGCGGUAAUACGGAGAGAGCGAGCGUUGUUCGGAAUUACUGGGCGUAAAGGGCACGUAGGCGGGUCCGUAUGUCAGGGGUGAAAUCCCCCGGCCUAACCGGGGAAGGGCCUCUGAAACUGCGGGCCUCGAGUGAAGCAGAGGGGAGUGGAACUCUCGGUGGAGCGGUGAAAUGCGUUGAUAUCGAGGGGAACACCGGCGGCGAAGGCGACUCCCUAUGCUUCUACUGACGCUGAGGUGCGAAAGCCAGGGGAGCGAACGGGAUUAGAUACCCCGGUAGUCCUGGCCCUAAACGGUGGGCACUAAGUAGAGGGGUUUU
RNAcentral lists this ribosomal RNA (472 nucleotides) under uncultured anaerobic ammonium-oxidizing bacterium. RNAcentral describes it as "bacterial SSU rRNA". It matches the Rfam family "Bacterial small subunit ribosomal RNA", at positions 365 to 832 of the family's 1533-position model. The record is from RNAcentral.